AAGACCCUUCAGCUGCAAACAACAGCUUCCUUGGUAGUGUAUACAGCCUGUUUCUUGUAUGGGUUGCUCUAAGGGUCCGUGGAGACAGGC
This is a small nucleolar RNA of Chlorocebus sabaeus (green monkey), 90 nucleotides long. Its record names the gene SNORA70. It matches the Rfam family "Small nucleolar RNA SNORA70". Rfam says of the family: snoRNA U70 seems to be exclusive to mammals and is a member of the H/ACA class of snoRNA which contain H (ANANNA) and ACA box motifs. H/ACA box snoRNAs are involved in the conversion of uridines to pseudouridines (5-ribosyluracil) a constituent of structural RNAs (transfer, ribosomal, small nuclear, and small nucleolar). The record is from Ensembl. Lineage: Eukaryota; Metazoa; Chordata; Mammalia; Primates; Cercopithecidae.